Molecule: ribosomal RNA, 253 nt
Filed under: uncultured bacterium
Lineage: Bacteria
Description: partial 16S ribosomal RNA
Rfam family: Bacterial small subunit ribosomal RNA
Source: RNAcentral
UACAGAGGGGGCAAGCGUUGUUCGGAAUUACUGGGCGUAAAGGGCGCGUAGGCGGCCUGUUAAGUCGAACGUGAAAUCCCUGGGCUCAACCCAGGAACUGCGUCCGAUACUGGCAGGCUUGAAUCCGGGAGAGGGAUACGGAAUUCCAGGUGUAGCGGUGAAAUGCGUAGAUAUCAGGAGGAACACCGGUGGCGAAGGCGGAUCUCUGGGCCUUACCUGACGCUCAGGUGCGAAAGCUAGGGGAGCGAACAGG